This 57-nucleotide transfer RNA is filed under the name Dipodomys ordii (Ord's kangaroo rat). It matches the Rfam family "tRNA", at positions 8 to 63 of the family's 71-position model. From Rfam's summary of the family: Transfer RNA (tRNA) molecules are approximately 80 nucleotides in length. Their secondary structure includes four short double-helical elements and three loops (D, anti-codon, and T loops). Further hydrogen bonds mediate the characteristic L-shaped molecular structure. tRNAs have two regions of fundamental functional importance: the anti-codon, which is responsible for specific mRNA codon recognition, and the 3' end, to which the tRNAs corresponding amino acid is attached (by aminoacyl-tRNA synthetases). tRNAs cope with the degeneracy of the genetic code in two manners: having more than one tRNA (with a specific anti-codon) for a particular amino acid; and 'wobble' base-pairing, i.e. permitting non-standard base-pairing at the 3rd anti-codon position. Lineage: Eukaryota; Metazoa; Chordata; Mammalia; Rodentia; Heteromyidae. The record is from Rfam by way of RNAcentral.
UAGCUCAGUAGUAGAGUGCUUGCCUCACAUGCAUGAGAGCUGGGGUUUGAUUCCUCA